Myiozetetes cayanensis is the source of this 13136-nucleotide RNA transcript. It is a transcript of the gene named Ral GTPase activating protein catalytic subunit alpha 2, with no coding region annotated. Lineage: Eukaryota; Metazoa; Chordata; Aves; Passeriformes; Tyrannidae. The record is from RefSeq and is a predicted model, not a curated record. The transcript has 40 exons.
GGGGAGGGGGGAGCGGCGCGCGCGGGGAGCGCCCCGGCAGCGCUCCCGGCAUCCAUCCUGACAUCCAUCCUCGGCGCCCCCCGCAUCCCCCCGUCCGGCCCCGCCGCGAUGUUCUCCAGGAAGGGCCACGCCGACGUCAGGAAAUCCACGCAGAAGGCGCUGGACCCGAAGCGGGACGUGCUGACCCGGCUGAAGCACCUCCGCGCGCUGCUGGAUAUUGUGGAUGGAAGUGACCUGAAGCAAUUUUUUGACAAUAAUUAUUCUCAAAUUUAUUUUAUAUUCUAUGAAAACUUCAUAACACUGGAAAAUAGCUUGAAACAAAAAGGGAAUAAGUCACAAAGGGAGGAGCUGGACUCCAUCCUCUUUCUUUUUGAAAAAAUAUUGCAACUACUGCCUGAGAGGAUUUUUUAUCGAUGGCAUUUUCGCAGUAUAGGGUCGAUUCUGAAGAAACUUUUGCACACUGGAAAUUCUCUCAAGAUCAGAUGUGAAGGAAUCCGGCUGUUCCUGCUCUGGCUCCAAGCCCUCCAGACGAACUGUGGGGAGGAGCAGAUCCUGCUGUUUGCCUGCCUCGUGCCCGGCUUCCCCCCGCUGGCGUCCUCGCGGGGGCCCUGCACCCUGGAGAGCCUCAUCAGCCCCCCGGCCCCGCCCGACGCUAAGGUUUUUCCAGAGGAAAUAACCCCGCUUUUACCAGCUGUCUCUGGAGAGAAAAUUGCUGAAGACCAAACCUGCUAUUUUCUUCAACUCCUGUUAAAAUAUAUGGUAAUUCAGGCUGCAAGCUUGGAGUGGAAAAACAAGGAGAACCAAGACACUGGGUUUAAGUUUCUCUUUACCUUGUUUAGAAAAUACUAUCUUCCUCACUUGUUUCCAUCUUUUACAAAGCUAACCAACCUCUACAAACCUGUGCUUGAUAUUCCUGAUAUCAGGCCGAGGCCAGUGUACGUCACUGCAACGCGCAACAAUGAAAGUGUCUAUAGCACGAAAAUCCCGUACAUGGCAGCUCGAGUUGUUUUUAUUAAGUGGCUUGUUACCUUCUUCCUUGAAAAGAAAUAUUUAACUGCUGUUCAGAACACGAAAAAUGGAGGAGAAGUGCUCCCUAAAAUUAUUCAGACGGUGGGGGUGAGCCAGGACAAGGCGGUGGAGCCCGAGGGCAGCGCGGCGCAGGAGCAGGACGGGAGCCACUCCAACAGCAGCACCUUGUCCGACAGGAGGCUCAGCAACGCCAGCCUGUGCAGCAUCGACGAGCAGCACCGCGGCGUCUACGAGAUGGUGCAGAGGAUCCUCCUGUCCACCCGCGGCUACGUCAACUUCGUCAACGAGGUGUUCCGACAGGCUUUUUUGUUGCCGCCUUGUGAUGUAUCCGCAACACGGAAGGUGGUGAAGGUGUAUCAGAAGUGGAUACUGCAGGAGAAGCCGGUGUUCAUGGAGGAGCCAGACAAGAAGGAGGACAGCCAGGAUGCUGUUGUCCACCUGGAAGACUCCCCAGUGCAAACAGACGGUAAACAUCUUUCCUCGGAGCACUCCGGGCACAAGCGCUCCUCCAGCUGGGGCAGGACGUACUCCUUCACCAGUGCUGUCAGCAGGGGAUGUGUGCUGGAAGAUGAGGACAGAGAUGUUAAAGCUGGAGCCCAGGCUGCCUUGCAGGUGUUCCUGACAAACUCGGCGAAUGUUUUCCUGCUGGAGCCGUGCACUGAGGUCCCGGUGCUGCUGAAGGAGCAAGUCGAUGCUUGCAAAGCUGUUCUCGGUAUCUUCAGGCGCAUGAUAAUGGAGCUGUCAAUGAAUAAGAAGACGUGGGAACAGAUGCUCCAGAUACUCCUCAGAAUAACAGAAGCUGUGAUGCAGAAGCCAAAAGAAAACCAGACAAAGGACACAUUUGCCCAGAGCAUGGCUGGGUUGCUGUUCCGAACCCUGAUUGUGGCUUGGAUCCGAGCGAAUCUGAGUGUUUACAUCUCUCGGGAGCUGUGGGAUGAGCUGCUCAGCGUUCUGUCCUCCCUGACGGACUGGGAGGAGCUCAUCAACGAGUGGGCCAACAUCAUGGACUCCCUGACAGCAGUGCUGGCCAGGACCGUGUAUGGCGUGGAAAUGACCAACCUGCCCUUGGACAAGCUCAGUGAGCAGAAGGAAAAAAAGCAGAGGGGAAAAGGUGGCAUUUUAGAGCCUCAGAAGACAGCAGUGGUGGGAAGAUCUUUUUCAUUAAGCUGGAAGAGUCAUCCUGAAGUUGUGGAGCCGAUGAGAUUCAGAAGCGCUACAACCUCUGGGGCCCCAGGAGUUGAGAAAGCCCGAAAUAUUGUUCGUCAGAGAGCGACAGCUAAGCGAAGCCAGUCUAUCAGCAACUGUGUCCACCUUUAUGAGGCUUUGCCAGCUACUAAAAGUGUACCUCUUCUGCUUCACACUGUGAGCUCUCUCUUCCCUGGUAUCUCUUACACUUCUUGCUCUCACAGACUGUCAGAAGUUGAAGAAUCUCAACAGUUGGAAAAUUCAGAAGCAACAGAAGCUGUGGGCCCGUUUGCAGAGCAGGAACAGCAGCUGACUCGCAGUAGCAGCACUUCAGAUAUUGCAGAUCAGAUUCCAUCUGAUUUUUUUCAAGGUAAAAAGGGUGGAAGUUCUCAUAAUUCAACUUCAGACUCCAAAUCAGUUCAGGAAAAUAAGGGACAUGCAAAGAAGGAGGAGGAAGCUGAACAAGUGCUACUGCGAAGGAGCAGCAGUACAGCUGAAUUAGAUCUCAAAGCAGACUUUCAGCCUUCCUAUGGGAAUUACAGGGAGAGAGAAAAAAGUGAGAGCGUGAGCAGCGACGCGUCCCUGGGCUGCGGUGCCGACGUGGACAUCGCGCUGCUGCCCUGGCAGGCGGCCGAGGAUGAUCCUGAUCCCGGAGCAGCCGCGGAGGUGUGUGUGGAUCCCACUGCCCCGCGCUGGCUGCAGCUCAGCCCCUCAGAGCCCGCCAACCUCACAGACAGUAGUGAAUUCCUUGCUGAUGACUGCAGCAUAAUUGCUGGUGGAAGCCUUAUUGGUUGGCAUCCUGAUUCUGCUGCUGUGUUAUGGAGGAGGAUCUUGGGAAUUCUUGGAGAUGUGAACAAGAUACAGUCACCUAAAAUCCACGCAAAAGUUUUUGGGUACCUUUAUGAGCUGUGGUAUAAACUUGCAAAGAUAAGGGACAACCUUGCUAUCAGCGUGGACAAUCAGUCCACUCCCUCUCCUCCCAUCCUAAUCCCGCCUCUCAGGAUAUUUGCAUCGUGGCUGUUCAAGGCAGCCACGCUGCCCAGCGAGUACAAGGAGGGCAAGCUGCAGGCGUUCCGGCUGCUCUGUGCCAUGAUGACCCGGCGCCAGGACGUGCUGCCCAACUCCGACUUCCUCGUCCACUUCUACUUCGUGAUGCGCCUCGGCUUGACAAGUGAGGACCAGGAUAUCCUGAACACUGUCAUAAAGCACUGCCCACCCUGGUUUUUCUUCUUGGGCUUGCCUGGGUUCACGAUGCUGAUCGGGGACUUCGUGGCGGCAGCAGCGAGGGUGCUGCGCGCGGACACGCUGGAGGCUCCCCGUUCUGAAGCUCACACCAUCCUUGGUGCUCUCGUGUGCUUUCCCAACACCUACCGGGAAAUCCCACACUUGGGACCCAUUUCAGAAACCAGUGAGAUCAGUACAGGCACUGCAGAUGUGAAGUAUUACCUCAUAAAUAUUUUAUUGAAGAAUGCUACAGAGGAGCCAAGUGAAGCUGCAAGGUGCAUAGCCAUCUGUGGCCUGGGAGUCUGGAUAUGUGAGGAGCUCACGCAGUGCACGAACCAUCCCCACGUGAAGAAGGCCAUCAAUGUCAUAGGAGUGACACUGAAGUUUUCCAAUAAGCUGGUAGCUCAGGUAGCCUGUGAUGUUCUUCAGCUGCUGGUGUCUUACUGGCAAAAGCUUCAGGAGUACGAAUCCUCCCUGUGCCGGAAAAUCACUGAGAUCCUCGUGGCCACCAUUGCGUUCCUCUUGCCGAGUGCCGAGUACUCCUCCGUGGAAGCGGAUAAGAAGUUCAUAGUUUCACUGCUGCUCUGCCUGCUGGACUGGUGCAUGGCACUGCCCAUGAAAAUGCUGCUGGAGCCCGCGUCUGCUGGUGCCGUGGAAGAUCAGCAUGCAUCCAGAGCUCCCUUGUUGGACUACAUUUACAGAGUCCUGCACUGCUGUGUGAAUGGCUCCAGCACGUACACGCAGCAAAGCCACUACGUGCUGAGCCUGGCCGACCUCUCCUCCUAUGACUACGACCCGUUUUUGCCACUGGGGAACGUCAGGAGCUCAGAGCCAGCCCAGUGCCAGUCCUCCACGGAUUUGGGCAACCUGCUCACCGUUGCUGAGGAGAAAAGGAGGAGGAAUUUAGAAUUGAUACCUCUGACGGCGCGGAUGGUGAUGACUCACCUGGUGAAUCACCUGAGCCACUACCCGCUCAGCGGAGGCCCUGCCAUUCUGCACAGCCUCCUCAGCGAGAACCACGACAACUCCUACGUGGAGUCCUCUGAGCUGUCCUCAGAAGUCUUCCGGAGUCCCAACCUGCAGCUCUUCGUGUUCAAUGACAGCACUCUCAUAUCUUACCUCCAAAUCCCUGCAGAGAAGAGGGCGGGUGCUGAGCCGGCAGCAGCCCCCUCGGACGUCAGGGUGAUUGUCAGGGAUAUCUCAGGGAAGUACUCUUGGGAUGGCCGGAUGCUGUACGGCCCUUUGGAGGGCUGCCUUCCACAGCAGAGCACCACCAACACCUUCGUGAUCUCCAGCAACCCCGAGCACCUCUUCGCUUCCCAGAACGACCUUUCCCAGGCAGAGGAAGGAGAAGACGCUCUCGACCAGCUGCUGGAGAAGAUCGGUGCCACCAGCCCCGAGUGCCUUCUGCACCCCCAGCGCAGGCUGAACGAGCCGGCGCCGCCGCCCUGCGGGAUGAGCUCCGACCAGGAGCGGGCCAUCAUGGAAGCCCUGCUGAGGCAGAGCGCCCAGGAAAGGGAGUUCAUCCUGAAAUGCAGCUCGGACUGCAGCAUGAAGGUGGCCCGCCAGGAACCACCACGUCCUGCUGAGCCUCAGGCCUCCUUUUAUUUCUGUCGGCUGUUGCUGAACGACUUGGGAAUGAACUCCUGGGAUAGAAGAAAAAGCUUUCACUUGCUUAAGAAAAAUUCAAAAUUGCUGCGAGAACUGAAAAAUCUGGAUUCCCGCCAAUGCCGUGAAACUCACAAGAUCGCCGUGUUCUACAUUGCCGAGGGACAGGAGGACAAGUGCUCCAUCCUGGCCAACGCGAGGGGAAGCCAGGCAUAUGAAGAUUUUGUAGCAGGGCUGGGCUGGGAGGUGGAUCUUUCCACGCACGGGGGUUUUAUGGGCGGCCUGCAGCGCAACGGCAGCACGGGACAGACCGCUCCCUACUACGCUACCUCCACCGUGGAGAUCAUUUUCCACGUGUCCACCAGGAUGCCGUCGGAUUCGGACGAUUCACUGACCAAAAAGCUUCGUCACUUGGGAAAUGAUGAGGUUCACAUCGUCUGGUCUGAGCACACCCGCAACUACCGCCGGGGCAUCAUCCCCACGGACUUUGGGGAUGUUCUCAUCGUCAUUUACCCCAUGAAGAAUCACAUGUUUUUCAUAGAGAUCAUGAAGAAACCAGAGGUGCCGUUUUUCGGUCCUCUCUUCGAUGGAGCGAUUGUGACCGCGAAGCUGCUGCCAAGCCUGAUCUGUGCCACGUGCAUCAACGCCAGCAGAGCCGUCAAGUCCCUCAUCCCACUCUACCAGAGCUUCUACGAGGAGAGAGCUCUGUACCUCGAAGCCAUCAUCCAGAACCACAAAGAGGUGAUGACGUUUGAGGAUUUUGCCGCUCAGGUCUUUUCUCCCUCUCCCAGCUACUCCCUCGGUGGAACUGGUGAGUCUCUGCACGUUAUUCUUCUCUGUAGCCCCAAGAAGCACUUGAGCAGCAGAUGUACACCUGUUUUUUGUAGAUAAAUGCUUGCAAAUUUAAGAAGACCAUUCUUCCCCUGAAUCAACUAAUGAAUAUCAAAAGGAAUGAUGACAUUCAUUUUAAUUUGUUUUGCAUCAGAGCUAUUCAGUCUGUUCCUUUCUUCAGCUAUCCUGUUAACCCCCGACUCCGGCGAGGUUAAUGAACUUUCUCGCAGCGAUGGGCUCCAGCUCAUUCAGGACUCCGGGUUCUUGCUGAGCUGGGAAUAUGUUGUUCAAAAGCGAGGCCUGAAUUGGGGCUCACUUAUCAAAAAUAGUUCCUCGCAGGGGAAGCUGCUGCUAAUGCUAAAUGGGGAUUAUGCUGCUGAGCUACCAGGGUCAGGGAUUAAUGCACAAGAAACGCAGGAACGGGGUGCUGUUAGGGAAUCACAGCGGCGGGCGGGACGCGGGCGCUUCCCUUCAAUGCAGACAAGCACAUUGCAGGCUGCCCUCCAGCACCUGGCCUGGAGCCUCUUUGGGGGCUGUAAUGGAUGUGUGGAUAUAUGUGGGGGGUGGGGGUGUGUGCAUGUGUACACACACAUCAACGCUCAUCAUUCAUCAGCCCUCCUGAGAGGUGACAACACAGUGCCAAACCCCGGGCAUUUAUUCCUUUAGGUUACUGUGUGGUCAGUGAGGUACAAAUCGCUGCCUGGCUGGUUCGGUUGAGUUUAAGUGAACCUCUUCUGAAAGGGAUCUUUUGCUCUGAAAAGCAGAUUUCUAGUGCUCUCAAGAUGUGUUUUUUCCAGCCUCCAGAAAGUAUCUCGUCACCGUGUGCUGGACUCUCUAACAAAGAUUCCUUAAUCCAUUGUUGACACUCAUGGGGUGACACUGGCACUUUCUAAUCAUUCCCUGCUUCUCUUUUGGAUUGCUGAAUAGAUUAUUUCCAACCUGUACAAACGUUGCAGGACAUCUGCUCUAUUUCUCUUUAGCCCGACUUGUUAGCAGAUAUCUUCCAUCUAAACUGAAACAUUGAAGGAAGAAAUUAAAUUUGCUAGAAUAAAUCACUUAGGAAUAAAACCAGCCAUGCAGCAUUGUCUAGCGUUCCUGGCUCCGAUCCUGGCGCGCUCGGAGCUUUGUGAGGAGAUAAGAGGCCUGUGCGGACUGGGCAGUGGUGGCCAGGAGCAGCAGGCAGAAGGCUUUGGAGAUAAGCGCUGGCAGGAGGGGAGGGAGUCGGGCCCAUUUACAUAAUCGCGCCUCUGCGUCCUGGAGAGGCGUCAGGGAACACGGGAUGGAUCUAUUGAUCUCUGCUGAACUGGAAUACUAAACAACACUAGGAAAGCUUAUAACUUAAAGCUUUGAUUAAUGUUUCCUACAUUAAAAAGUAGAACAGCUGUGCAUUAAAUUCUUUUAUACACUCUGCCAAAAGUCUGAGACAAAAAAAUUGCCCGUUUCAAUAGGAGUGCAGCGCGUGCCCAGGGUUGGUUGUUAGCAUUUGAAUCGUUUAUCUGUUGACAUAUCAGCAAAUAGAAAUGUAGAUAUAUUGAUGUGUUUUAAAUGUUUUGCUCUGUACAUAACUGUGUCUCGUUCUCAUGUUUUUUAGAGCACGCAGUGCUCUGGUUGUGUACAAAUGUGGUCCGGCAGGGCAGAUCCCUUGGCAGUGCCGCUCUUGGAAGGCUGGGAUAUGCUGGGAUAUGCCAAACCUGGUUAAAGUGUUUCCCAGUAGCUGAGGUUUUCAGAACACUGUUAAAUCAUGAGUACCCUGGAUGUGGUUUUAUAAUUUCAUUAUUUUAAUUGCUUUUAAUUGUAAAACCUGCCCCAGUCAGGUCCCAGUUUUUGGACUUCUGAGCCUCAGAAUUAAUUUUUCACUCAUGAACUGGAGGCUGGCCAUGACUUCUGGUGUCAGAAUUCUCUGCUUCAGAGAGUCUCCUCAUGUUACCUACUGAUUCACCUACAUAUGUAGUCAGUGAUGAGCAAGGACAGUGUCAGCCGUGGCCAUUGGGAUGUGUUUUCCAUCAGAUGCUCCCUGGCAGCUCGGGAGCUGUUCCCCAGCAUGCAGCCUGUGCCAUAGGCAGGCAGUCCUGCUCCAGGCAUAGACCCACCUGCCUUACACCUGCAGGAAUCACCUGUCUGCUGCUUAGGAACACGGAUGGCAUUUUUCUCCAUGUAAAAAGGAAUUGCUAUUCUGAAACAGAAAAAAUGAAUCAGGGAGCAAUAAAUGAAAAACAAAUUUUCCCUGAGAAAGUAGUCAGGCACUGGCACAGGCUGCCCAUGAAGGUGCUGGAGUCACUGCCUCUAAAAGUGUUCAGGAGGUGUCUGAAUGUGGCACUUGGGGACGUGGUUUAGGGGUGAUGAUGGUGGUGCUGAGUUGAUGGCUGGAUUAGAUGAUCUUGAAGAUCUCUCCCAGCCUUGAUGAUUCUGUGGGAUUCAUGGAGCUGGCACAGGUGACAAGCCAGCUGGUGCUGCUAACCCUACCGAGUAUAAACUCCUCAGGUAAAUUUAAGAUUAAUUCUCAUCUGAUCUGAGCAGAAAGGUCAAGGAGCAAGUGUGCUUUUUAUUAAAAUGAAGCUUGUUCUCAUUAGUUAUAAGAAGAAAUCAGGACCAUUAAAUGAAUUGAAGACAUAGCUCUCACUGACACACAUCACUGGGGUGUUGCUAACCAUGAUCUAAUGAUUUGAACUUUGUGUUUUUGCAUUUUCUGAUGCUGCCCCGUGGGAUGCAUCCCCCAGACUCGGGUGGGAUGUGUGUUUCCUGCCCUGGCUUAGUCUCUUUGUCACCAGCAGUCUUGCAGGUGCUGCAUUUUCUGCACGAAAAUCAUCCAGUUCAUCUCUUUGCUGUUUCCACGCACAGAGCCUUAAACUUCCCUCACGGAUCACAGGUAGCCCUGGCUGUCUGCAGUGCUGAAGGAUCACAGGUAGCCCUGGCUGUCUGCAGUGCUGAAAGCGCAGCCGGGUAGGCAGAAUGGCCAUCCCUGAACUCAUUUAGGGGAUGUGCAGAUUAGGAACAAAAGCUGGGAAUACGGCCCUUUGUUGUUAAACUGGUGCAUUACAUGCUGUAUUUUAAUUAGGCUGGGUCUGAGAGGCAGCCCAGGAAAUCCUCCAUAAUCCAACACUAUUGAAUUAUUCUCAUCCUUUCCCUCUGCAGAUUUCUCUCCUUUUAGAGGACGGGCUUUAUGCUGCUGUUCUUGCUCCCUCAGCCAAACCCAGAAACAGUUACUCAACAAAACAGUUGUGUGUUCUUUAACAAACUGGUGAAGCUGAAGCGGGCACACACAGACAGAGCAGCACCCUGACUUUGCCUCUGUGGCUCAGAGGGCUGCCUUGGGCUUUGGGGCUUUUUUGGUGUAAGAUCAGCAGUCAGAAGCAUGGUGUUAUCCCUUAGGAAGUGGAAGUGGGUCAGGUAUUCAGGGUAUCUAGUGAAAGCUUGCCCACCUCAGGAGGAUUGUGUAAAGAGUCUGUACUCGGAGGGCAGGUUUGUGUUUGAAGGGAACCCCGGAGCUGCAGUGCUGCCGUUGGCACUCCAAGGGUUAAUGGGAACGGGCACACUUGACUGCUGAGAGGACUGAUCUAAUCACUGCCAUAUCCAAGUGCAUCUGUUCACCAUGAGGUCAUUCUUGUGCAUGCUAAUGACUUGGAAAAUAAAGCACAAUGCUCAACGUUAUCAGGGAGGAUAUAGUGUAAAUCUUGGCUUUUUUAGUUGUUAAUGGGUAUUGUGGAAUGGGCAGGCAAAGCAUCCCGGAUUCUUGUGUUCCAGCUUAAUGUUUUUAAAGCAUCCUUUUCAGUGGAGUGUCAGGAAAACUGUACUGGAAAACUCAGACAUGGUAUCUGUUGAUAAAUGGAUUCUUUAAUGAAUAUUAUGGCAUUGCCCAGGAGCAACACUUGAGUUGAGGAACUAUAGAGGUUUUCAGCAUUCCCUGGUUUUAAAGCCUCGGGAGCCUGCCUGCUGAUUUACAUAAAACCAAGAUUUUGCAGGCUUUUUGUUGUAAAGGUGACACAUGCUUUUCUUUUGUCUCCAGACUUUUACAUGCAUAAAGUUCCUGUAGAAAAUACUUGAAUGUAUAAGGAAGCAGAUCUGGUUUAUUUUAAACCACUUUUUGCUCAGUACUGAGCUUUAUCUUUCCCACUUUAAAGCAAAAGGAAUACUUCAAUUUGACAUCUAGGUUUAAAAUGUAUUUUUGACAGAAACAAAACCAAACCCAGAGUAACUAUUGCGCUAACCAGACUGAUGCUCUUUGUAAUGAUGAGCCAGGAUUCCUUUUGCUUUGGUGUGGUUUUUCUGGUUUUGUUUUUUACUUAAUUGGGGUUUCUUUUGCUUUUAUCUUUUUCCUUGGAAAAGGGUGUUUUGUCAGAUCUGUGUAGAGGUGGAACAAAAGUCUCUCCAGGUUCUGUAUAUUAAAUAUUUCUGCCUUUUUCGGGGGAGUAGUAAAAAAAUACUCAAAAGUGAAUAGCUGUGCCACGAUACCACAGCACGUUCGGCAUUUACCAGGGGUCAAGUUUGAUCCAUGUGUCAGUGUUGCCUGAAACUGAACAGUUAAUUUCUAGUAACUGGGACUUAGGAAAUUCCUGACUGUCCUGGCUCCUCAGAGCCACAGCUCAGCUGCUGCCUCCAGGAGAGGAGGCAGCACUGGCACUGUCUGGCAGUGGCAGCUGUGGGCUCCAACCUCCACCCAACCCUCCCUGGUCCAGGAUGGGUCCCUCCGAUGUGGGAGCAAGGACAGGGAAUUGAGUCGUAUGAGCCCGUGCUCAGCAGGUGAGAUGGAACUCGGGUAGCUACCGGUGCUGCCGUGGUUGUCCAGGCAGUGAACAAAGAGGAAAAGCUGAGGGAGGUGGAGCAGAGGAGCCAGAAGAGUUACCACAGGAGGCAGGAUUCGGCUGUCUCUUCUCCUCCUUCCCCGGGAGUACUCGGGAGGAAGCACAGGACCUGUGUGGCUUUCCCUCUCUGUUUAAUCCCGGUAGUUCCACAUCCUGAGCAGACUGGAGCCUCUGUCCCAGCUGCUGCUCGGCUGCCCUCAGGGGCUCCUGGGGCAGCACCAGCAGAUUUGGGAGCUGCUCCUUGCCCCUGUGCUCUCUGUUAUCAGUGUUCCACGUGUGGCUUUCCUGCCCUCAUCCACAGAGCUGCCACCGUAGUGUCCCUCUGAGGGGCAGGAAUGGCAUUAAACAGAGCAGUGUCACAGCUACCACAAAUUGUUGGGGCAGCAGCUCUGUUCCCCUGUAGCUCCUGUGGCUGAACAGGCCUGGCUCCAGAGGGUCUGGAUCCCUGCAGAGCCCUAGGGAAGUUGCAUCCUUCCUUUGCGGGCCCCUGCAAAGGAACAGCCGUCUACUCUGGGCACAGGGGUCGUUUUCCCUGUGCCCUGCACCGACCUGUCCCUGAGGCUGGGCAGGUGCUGGGGCUGCUUCUCCCUCAAGCCCUCGGGAUCUCCAGCAGGGAAGGGGCACAUUAGGGCUCUCAGCCUGGGCCCCUGCCUUUUCCAUGUAAUUGAUUGGCUCAGAGGGAGCUCCCCCAGCUAUGAUCUCUGGGAGAGGAGGCAGAGAGAGAGGGUUUCUCCAAGCAAUCAGUGCUGGGAUGGCAGAAAAUAUGAGCUUGACAGGCCCGUCUCUCCUGCCGGGUGACAGCUCCAGCUGCUCGAGCUGUCAGCUCGGAGAAGGCUCCAGGCAAUGUGGCCCCUUUGCAUUUUCCCUCUGCACUGAGGCACCGGCUCUGUGGCCACGGAGAGCGGGAGCAGAGCUGUGGCCACGGGCCGGGGGCUUGGGCUGCUCCACCUGUGACACCCACAAAACCCCCAUCGUUUUCUGGGCUCCCCCUGGCUGAGGUUGAGGCCAACCGUGCAGAACUAAUUAACGGCUGCUCCGAGUCCUGACUAAUUAGACUUCGAUGUGUACAUUUAGGGUUUAUUUCCAAAUCCCUCAAACCAUCAAGGCUGGGCCUGUGACCGUGCCAGCCACUCCCUCCUGGAAACUGUGAGUGCUAUUUUAGGGGUGGUUCUACCCCUGAUUAACUUGUAGUUUGAGAUCUCUUACUGCUUAAAGCUUUCCAAGACACUGCAGGACAUGUUUGAUUAACACAGCCACGGCUUGAGUUAUCGAUGAUUUCUUCCACACAGGCUCAGGAUGCUGCUUACAGUGUACUUUGAGCCUGUCCUUGGAAGUGGGAAGCAGGAACACUGGGCAGAUUUACUACAGUGAUUCUCUCUGGAAUUUUCUGACCUUCACAUUUACUGGGAAGGAAAACAAAGAUUUCCACAGCCCUGUCCUGGCUGACAGGUUAAUGGGGGGCUGGAACAGGUCACAGCCCAUGUGAAAACUUCAUGGGUCUUUUUAAAGACAAGGCUUCAGGAUCCUUACAGGUCAUGGAGACCCACCGUUGCUUUCAGGGGUGUUCAGCUACUUCAGGAGGAGAGAAAUGGCUGAAAGGUCAUUCCUAGAGCACCUGCCCUGGCAGGGCGGGGCAUGAGAAAUGAGGUUUGUUCUCUCUGGUGGAUUUGAGGUGCAAUAAGCCAUCUUUCUCUCUCUAGCUUCCCACAAGACAAUUUCAUCUAAAGUGUGGUUUUAUCUGUAUUCCUAACUCCAUUUCUAAUCCCCUCCUGCAAGGAACUUACUUUAAAAGUUUAAACCUCUCUCACCAGGCGUCACCUGUAAGAGGCCCUGUGGGAUCCCUACACUGCUCAUUUCCUGGGGUUUUAACCUGCCUGCAGUGUCCCAGUGGUUUAGGUCUCUGUGAAGCCUCCAAUCUUGCACAGUUUGAAAUGGUGUGACCAGCAGCGGUGCUGGAGGCAGAGCCGAUGCAGCUGCACCCACCGUCCCAUGGCAGCUCGUUUGGCAAAAGCUCGUUUGCAAUGAUUAUUCAUUCUCAUUUUUGCCAGCAUUCCCUCCCUUGACCGUUUCAAUGCACAGACCCGAGAAGGAAGCGUGCGGGUCCCUGUUUCUCCAGGUCCCUGAGGGUUGAGGGGAACUCUCCUUCCUGCGCUGCCCUUCCCGCUGGUGCCCGGCACGUGCCAGGGUCUGCUGUGCCAGGCUGAUGUUGGCCCAGUGGGUCACGGGUGUGCCGGUCCUGCACUGACACCGUUUUGUGUUCUCUCCCUUCAGAUUAGAGUGUGUAACGCUCUCGUUACGGUAAUGGCCGCAGGCUGCCUCACCACAAGUGCAAGCGCUGACCUCACUGUUACCAUCGGCAUCGAGCUGGCGGAGCCGCCCUCGCCCACGCUGCCACGUGCCUCCAGGAGCAGAGUCUCCGGGAAGCUCCGUCGCUCCACCAGCGCUCUCAGCAAGGCUUCC